CCCUUAGAUGUUCUGGGCCGCACGAGCGCUACACUGACGAAGUCAGCGAGCAUGUCCUACGCCGACAGGUGCGGGGAAUCUUGUCAAACUUCGUCGUGAUGGGGAUUGAUUAUUGAAAUUCUUGAUCAUCAACGAGGAAUUCCUAGUAAGCGCAAGUCAGCAGCUUGCGUUGAUUACGUCCCUGCCCUUUGUACACACCGCCCGUCGCUACUACCGAUUGAAUGGUUUAGUGAGAUCUUCGGAUUGGCGCCACUGCGGCUCAGCAAUGGGCUCGGUGGAUGCCGAAAAGUUGAUCAAACUUGAUCAUUUAGAGGAAGUAAAAGUCGUAACA
RNAcentral lists this ribosomal RNA (331 nucleotides) under uncultured eukaryote. RNAcentral's name for it is "partial 18S ribosomal RNA". It matches the Rfam family "Eukaryotic small subunit ribosomal RNA", at positions 1470 to 1796 of the family's 1831-position model. The record is from RNAcentral.